This 497-nucleotide ribosomal RNA is filed under the name uncultured bacterium. RNAcentral describes it as "partial 16S ribosomal RNA". It matches the Rfam family "Bacterial small subunit ribosomal RNA", at positions 28 to 507 of the family's 1533-position model. The record is from RNAcentral.
GACGAACGCUGGCGGCGUGCCUAAUACAUGCAAGUUGAGCGCUGAAGGUUGGUACUUGUACCAACUGGAUGAGCAGCGAACGGGUGAGUAACGCGUGGGGAAUCUGCCUUUGAGCGGGGGACAACAUUUGGAAACGAAUGCUAAUACCGCAUAAAAACUUUAAACACAAGUUUUAAGUUUGAAAGAUGCAAUUGCAUCACUCAAAGAUGAUCCCGCGUUGUAUUAGCUAGUUGGUGAGGUAAAGGCUCACCAAGGCGAUGAUACAUAGCCGACCUGAGAGGGUGAUCGGCCACAUUGGGACUGAGACACGGCCCAAACUCCUACGGGAGGCAGCAGUAGGGAAUCUUCGGCAAUGGACGAAAGUCUGACCGAGCAACGCCGCGUGAGUGAAGAAGGUUUUCGGAUCGUAAAACUCUGUUGGUAGAGAAGAACGUUGGUGAGAGUGGAAAGCUCAUCGAGUGGCGGUAACUACCCAGAAAGGGACGGCUAACUACGUG